UACAGAGGGUGCGAGCGUUAAUCGGAAUUACUGGGCGUAAAGCGUGCGUAGACGGUAGCGUAAGUCAGAUGUGAAAGCCCCGGGCUCAACCUGGGAACUGCAUUUGAGACUGCUCUGCUCGGGUGCGGAAGAGGGAAGCGGAAUUUCCGGUGUAGCGGUGAAAUGCGUAGAUAUCGGAAGGAACACCAGUGGCGAAAGCGGCUUCCUGGUCCGACACCGACGGUUCAGGCACGAAAAGCGUGGGGGAGCAAACAGG
RNAcentral lists this ribosomal RNA (256 nucleotides) under uncultured bacterium. RNAcentral's name for it is "partial 16S ribosomal RNA". It matches the Rfam family "Bacterial small subunit ribosomal RNA", at positions 524 to 776 of the family's 1533-position model. The record is from RNAcentral.